This 393-nucleotide ribosomal RNA is filed under the name uncultured bacterium. RNAcentral's name for it is "partial 16S ribosomal RNA". It matches the Rfam family "Bacterial small subunit ribosomal RNA", at positions 523 to 918 of the family's 1533-position model. The record is from RNAcentral.
AUACGUAGGGGGCUAGCGUUAUCCGGAAUUACUGGGCGUAAAGGGUGCGUAGGUGGUUUCUUAAGUCAGAAGUGAAAGGCUACGGCUCAACCGUAGUAAGCUUUUGAAACUAAGAGACUUGAGUGCAGGAGAGGAGAGUAGAAUUCCUAGUGUAGCGGUGAAAUGCGUAGAUAUUAGGAGGAAUACCAGUUGCGAAGGCGGCUCUCUGGACUGUAACUGACACUGAGGCACGAAAGCGUGGGGAGCAAACAGGAUUAGAUACCCUGGUAGUCCACGCCGUAAACGAUGAGUACUAGCUGUCGGGGUUACCCCCCUCGGUGGCGCAGCUAACGCAUUAAGUACUCCGCCUGGGAAGUACGCUCGCAAGAGUGAAACUCAAAUGAAUUGGCGGGG